RNAcentral lists this transfer RNA (75 nucleotides) under Tepiditoga spiralis. RNAcentral describes it as "Oceanotoga sp. sy52 tRNA-Thr". It matches the Rfam family "tRNA". From Rfam's summary of the family: Transfer RNA (tRNA) molecules are approximately 80 nucleotides in length. Their secondary structure includes four short double-helical elements and three loops (D, anti-codon, and T loops). The record is from RNAcentral. Lineage: Bacteria; Thermotogati; Thermotogota; Thermotogae; Petrotogales; Petrotogaceae.
GCCGAUGUGGCUCAAUGGUAGAGCGAGUCAUUCGUAAUGAUUAGGUUGGGGGUUCGAUUCCCUUCAUCGGCUCCA